UACGAAGGGGGCUAGCGUUGCUCGGAAUUACUGGGCGUAAAGCGCACGUAGGCGGCUUUCUAAGUCGGGGGUGAAAUCCUGGAGCUCAACUCCAGAACUGCCUUCGAUACUGGAGAGCUCGAGUCCGGGAGAGGUGAGUGGAAUUGCGAGUGUAGAGGUGAAAUUCGUAGAUAUUCGCAAGAACACCAGUGGCGAAGGCGGCUCACUGGCCCGGUACUGACGCUGAGGUGCGAAAGCGUGGGGAGCAAACAGG
This 253-nucleotide ribosomal RNA is filed under the name uncultured bacterium. RNAcentral's name for it is "partial 16S ribosomal RNA". It matches the Rfam family "Bacterial small subunit ribosomal RNA", at positions 524 to 776 of the family's 1533-position model. The record is from RNAcentral.